AAUCCAUAGGUUAAUGAGGCGAACCGGGGGAACUGAAACAUCUAAGUACCCCGAGGAAAAGAAAUCAACCGAGAUUCCCCCAGUAGCGGCGAGCGAACGGGGAGGAGCCCAGAGCCUGAAUCAGCAUGUGUGUUAGUGGAAGCGUCUGGAAAGGCGCGCGAUACAGGGUGACAGCCCCGUACACAAAAGCGCAUGUGCUGUGAGCUCGAUGAGUAGGGCGGGACACGUGGUAUCCUGUCUGAAUAUGGGGGGACCAUCCUCCAAGGCUAAAUACUCCUGACUGACCGAUAGUGAACCAGUACCGUGAGGGAAAGGCGAAAAGAACCCCGGCGAGGGGAGUGAAAAAGAACCUGAAACCGUGUACGUACAAGCAGUGGGAGCACAGGUUUACCUGUGUGACUGCGUACCUUUUGUAUAAUGGGUCAGCGACUUAUAUUCUGUAGCAAGGUUAACCGUAUAGGGGAGCCGGAGGGAAACCGAGUCUUAACCGGGCGUUAAGUUGCAGG
RNAcentral lists this ribosomal RNA (506 nucleotides) under Salmonella enterica subsp. enterica serovar Aderike. RNAcentral's name for it is "partial 23S ribosomal RNA". It matches the Rfam family "Bacterial large subunit ribosomal RNA", at positions 161 to 706 of the family's 2925-position model. Lineage: Bacteria; Pseudomonadati; Pseudomonadota; Gammaproteobacteria; Enterobacterales; Enterobacteriaceae. The record is from RNAcentral.